AUGAAGGGAUGGGGGGCCAACCUUGGGCGUGAUGCCAGAGAGCGCAAGAAAGCGCUGCUUACCGCGAUUCAGGCACUUGACCUUCGGGCUGACUUGGUGGGUCUGUCUCCGGAUGAGUGGCUGGCCCGCUAUGACCUCGAAGACCAACUCUUUGUGAUCUACUCCGAUGAGGAGGCCUAUUGGCGCAUUCAAGGCGCCCAGAAGUGGGUCCUGAAGGGUGAUGCGAAUACCGCUUACUUCCAGGUGAUCGCCAACGGCCGCCGUAGACGCAACACCAUCCCCCUCCUCUGGGAUGGGGAGACCCUUCUCCAGGACCCUCGCGACAUCCGGACUCAUGUCGACGGCUUCUAUAGGUCCCUUUUCUCUGCCGCUCCUCGGAGCGGCAUCUCCCUCGCCCACGAUUGUUGGGCCGGUAUUCAGUUAGUCUCCGAUGCGGAGAACGCAGCCCUGACGGCCCCCUUCUCUGAGCAAGAGGUCUGGGCGGCUAUCAAGGGUAUGAAUGCCUCUUCGGCGCCUGGGCCUGAUGGCCUCCCUGUCAUUUUCUUCAAGACCUUCUGGAACGUGAUUAAACCGGAGGUCAUGGCCAUCUUUGAGGAAUUCUUUGUUGGUUCUAUUGACCUAGGUCGCCUUAACUAUGGGAUCAUCUCUCUCAUCCCCAAGGUCCCUGGGGCGUCCGACAUCCGCCAGUCCCGGCCGAUCACGGUCAUUAAUGUGAUCUUCCGGAUCCUGGCCAAGGGGUACACCAAUAGGGUGACCCUGCUUGCUGACCGGAUAACCCAUCCUAACCAGUCAGCCUUCAUUAAAGGACGAUAUAUCCUGGAUGGAGUCCUGGUCCUCCACGAGGUCCUUCACGAGGUCCGGACCAAGCACCUUAGGGCGGUGUUUCUGAAGAUCGAUUUUCACAAAGCCUAUGAUUCUGUCAGUUGGACCUUCCUCAGGGAAGUCCUUCUUCAGAAGGGCUUCGAUGACCGCUGGAUCACUAGAGUCAUGCAAAUGGUCUCUUGCGGCCGCACGGCGGUCAACCUCAACGGCGAGAUUGGUCCCUUCUUCCCCACCCUUUGUGGGGUUCGCCAAGGCGACCCCUUCUCCCCGUUCCUCUUCAAUAUGGUGGUGGAUGCCCUGGCCGCCAUCCUUGAUAAGGCCAAAGCUGCUGGCCACAUUCGUGGGAUCACCCCACACCUCUCUGGGGGAUCGGGGAUCUCCAUCCUUCAGUAUGCUGACGACACGAUCAUCAUGGUCGAAGGCUCGGAGGUGGACAUCGCCAACCUCAAGUUCCUCCUUCUCUGCUUUCAACAGAUGUCGGGCCUCAAGAUCAACUUUGAUAAGAGCGACGUCAUGGUGAUGGGAUAUUCCCCCUCUGAGUCUCUGGCCAUCGCCAACAGGCUUAAUUGCCUCUUGGGUUCUUUCCCCACCUCCUACCUGGGGACCCCCAUUAGCGACUCGCGUCUUUCUACCGCGGACUUGAGGCCCGCAGUUACUAAGCUCCAGUCCUGGUGCGAGCCCUGGUAG
RNAcentral lists this ribosomal RNA (1509 nucleotides) under Triticum aestivum (bread wheat). Its description in RNAcentral is "partial small subunit ribosomal RNA". Lineage: Eukaryota; Viridiplantae; Streptophyta; Magnoliopsida; Poales; Poaceae. The record is from RNAcentral.